CCUACGGGAGGCAGCAGUGGGGAAUUUUGGACAAUGGGCGCAAGCCUGAUCCAGCAAUGCCGCGUGCAGGAUGAAGGCCUUCGGGUUGUAAACUGCUUUUGUACGGAACGAAAAAGUCUGCCCUAAUACGGUGGGCCCAUGACGGUACCGUAAGAAUAAGCACCGGCUAACUACGUGCCAGCAGCCGCGGUAAUACGUAGGGUGCGAGCGUUAAUCGGAAUUACUGGGCGUAAAGCGUGCGCAGGCGGUUAUAUAAGACAGAUGUGAAAUCCCCGGGCUCAACCUGGGACCUGCAUUUGUGACUGUAUAGCUAGAGUACGGUAGAGGGGGAUGGAAUUCCGCGUGUAGCAGUGAAAUGCGUAGAUAUGCGGAGGAACACCGAUGGCGAAGGCAAUCCCCUGGACCUGUACUGACGCUCAUGCACGAAAGCGUGGGGAGCAAACAGGAUUAGAUACCCUGGUAGUCCACGCCCUAAACGAUGUCAACUGGUUGUUGGGUCUUCACUGACUCAGUACGAAGCUAACGCGUGAAGUUGACCGCCUGGGGNGGUAACGGUCGCGAGUUAGUAACGUUACGAAGAAGUUAGACGGCGNGAGACGNGCCGACGGACGACGACGAGGGAGGAGG
Molecule: ribosomal RNA, 627 nt
Filed under: uncultured bacterium
Lineage: Bacteria
Description: bacterial SSU rRNA
Rfam family: Bacterial small subunit ribosomal RNA (bases 1-541)
Source: RNAcentral